This 5868-nucleotide unclassified non-coding RNA is filed under the name Leishmania donovani. RNAcentral describes it as "gene:LdHU3.19.1070(CDS-product:pteridine_transpor ter_(truncated)_putative)". Lineage: Eukaryota; Euglenozoa; Kinetoplastea; Trypanosomatida; Trypanosomatidae. The record is from RNAcentral.
GAGAGUUAAAGCGAAAGCAGCAAGCGGCGCACUUUCUAUUUCGGUUCCUCGACGUUUUUUCUUGUUGUUCUUUCUUUGAGGCCGGCCAUCGGCGUUGAUCCACCACGGAAACACACGUACACACCACCGAAUAAGCCUCACCCUAUCCAGUAAGAACUAGCAAUGACGUCAGAGUCACACCUUGAGGAGGCGGAUGAUAACCUCCACAAUCGGCACGCCGAUACACAGGUCCUCGCUGACGUGGAUAACGAGUACUCUGACGAGUAUGUCCACCCUGGUGCCCGUCGCCUCUACGCCAAGCUUCCCUUCAUGCAGCACAUCCCCAUCUUCAGCGAGGCCGCCACCUCCUAUGGCCCUGGUUGCAUUGGGUCACUUGGUAUUUGCUACCUCCUGUGUAAGGGUAUUGCAAACAGCAUUAUCGGUUACGCGAAGCAGCCACUCUUCAUGAACCGCUACGGUAUUAGCGGCCUGCGCUAUCAGCGCCUCUCCAGCAUUACCUCGAUGGGCUGGUCCAUCAAGGCCUUUACAGCCAUGCUGUGCGACGCCUUCGCCGCCUUCGGGUACACGAAGCGUUGGUACAUGUUCGCUUCCUGUCUGCUCGGCGGCGUCUUCGCCCUCAUUUUGGGUCUGCUGCCUGCCAAGGAAUCGUCCGCGAACACCGCCUGCGCCUUCAUCUUCCUUACUGCCUUCAGUAAGGCCAACGUGGAUAUCCUCUCCGAAGGUCUCUACAGUCGUCUGAUGCGCCGUCGGCCCAAGGCUGGUGCCGCGCUGGUGAGCUGGAUCUGGUGGUUCAUCAUGGUGGGUGCCAUCAUCGCGGCCGCCAUCCAGGGACCGCUGUCCGACUCCAGCAUGGUACAGGUGGGCAUCUUUAUCGCUGCCGGCCUGCAGGUGGUUUGUGCGCUGAUCUUUUUCUUCAACCUGUACGAGGAGCGCACUAACAGAGUGGAGCGUUGGGAGGAUGCGCUUGCGCUGGAGGCGGAGAUGCGUGCGGAGCUGGGCAUGGACGUGGCAGCAGCGCAGGCUCGGCUGCGUGCUCAGAUGCAGCUCGCUCACAAGAGCCCCUGCAGCACCAGCACCGAGGUGGAGCCCAUCACCAUGCCCAUGAAGGAUGUCGCUCCCCACGAGGGACAGAGGUUGGAGGUCAGUGGUGCCCUGGUGACGGAGCUGGCUGACACAGCAGAGCAGGAUGAUGAGGACCUACAGAGCCUCGAAGCGGCGGCGCGCGCUCGCGUGGGUGAGCCCAUCACAUGCCUCUUCGGGGUCUUUGAGGUCAACAGGGAUGUCUUUGGCCGUAACUGGAGGAUCUUCGCGUACAGCGUAAUCAUGACGUGCGCCGUCGUCGCCAUGACGUGCGGCAACAUUCUUGCCGACACGCUUGGUCUGCUGAUCCUCUGCGUCAUUGUCUCCGUUGUCUGCUGUGCUGCAUCCUUCUGGGCCCUGCCCCUUGUCAUCGCCAAGGCGAACGUCUUUGGCUAUCUGCAGAUGGUCUUCUAUCUGCAGCUGCCUGGCGCGCUCGACAGCUUCUACCUCGCUGAUGAGGAAUGCCUCCCCGGCGGCCCGCACUUCUCGUACACCUUCUACAAUACGGUGAGUGCCCUCAUCGGCAACGUUGGUGGUCUUGCUGGUAUCACCGUAUUCAACUACAUCUUCUCCAAGCACAGCUACCGGCUGACUCUUGUCGUCACCACCACUGUGCAGAUCCUUGCCUCCGUCUUCGAUAUCAUUAUGGUGAAGCGCUGGAACAUCGCAAUUGGCAUCCCGGACCGCGCCAUGUACAUCAUGGGCGACGCCGUUGUGUUUCAGGUGUGCUACUAUCUGACGUGGAUGCCAGUCGUGAUUCUGCUCUCGCGCCUGUGCCCUCGCGGCUCGGAGAGCAUGGUGUACGCGCUGAUGGCUGGUUUUGCCAACCUCGGAGAGACGAUGGCGACCUCGAUCGGCUCGCUGAUCAUGGAGUACGCCUGGGGCAUCGUGACAACCCCACCGUGCGACUUCAGCAACGUGCCCAUGCUCUUGCUUGUGGGCCACAUCCUGGCUCCCAUUUUGAUCAUCCCACUCUCCUUGCUGCUGCCGGCAGCGCGUGUCUGCGACGACAUCAACGUGGACGGAGAGGCAGUCAAGAGAGAGGCGAAGAAGUACAUCUCGCACGACGACAGCGACAGCAGUAGUGCCGCCGGCAAGCAUUGAACAAGGAAAAGGCAAUCCUUCCGAAAAGAGACUCUGGAACCAUAAAGCGGCCAUUAGAAGAGACGAGAGUGCAACGUUGCUUCGCCCUCUGUUUUUUCUUCAGGUUUGGCGUUGAAGGGUGUGGGAGCGUUCUCACGCCCUUUUCGCCCUGUUCCAGUUGUGUGAUGAGCAGAAGGGGCAUCCCAACAAUCUCGCCUCCCUGUAUGUCCGCUUCCACGUCUUUGGAGCGCGAUGUGCACAUGCGCAUCAUCUUCUGGGUCCUUUGUUUUUUUUUCUCUCUGUGGUACCUCCUAUCCUAGCAUCGAUGCAUCCGACCAACACACACAGCGCCCCCCCCCUCUCUUCCUCAUCUCUCAGCAUCUCCACAUUGCCGUCUUCUCAUCCUUUUCUUUUUCGCCUUGUUUGUGCGCGUGUGCGUUUGCAGGGAAGAUGAGGGAAUCUACGACAUCUGUUGAUACCCAUCUUCGCCAUGAUUGCAUUUCUUGGGUUCCUCGGCGGUGUCCUUCUCUACGAUGUUAACCAAAGUCGGCCUCCUUCCCCCUCCUCCCUUUCCCUCUCGUUUAGCUGUUUUGUCGUUUGUGGUUUUGAUGUGAAAAAAAUCUCUGCUGGCGUUUUCCUCUACCCGUUCUCCCUCUGUGUGUAUAUGCGUGUAGGUAUGUGUGGGUGGGUGGGUGUCUUCGCAUACAUUUUUCGCAGCGCACCCUCUCGAGUGGUCUCCGUAGAGAGAAAGACCCGUUUAGUGGAAGCGGUGGACAAGAAAGCGAGAGAGCGUAGUCCUUCCCAUGUGAAGAUGCUGCGGCUGCAGAGGACAACUAUACACAACUCCCCCCCCUUACCCACCCACACACACACACACAAGCAGAGAGGGAACAGGGCACAGCAGACACUUCCCUUUUGUUCAUAUCUGUUAAGGGUUCGCCCCUAUCUUUAGUCUUUCCUUCCCCUUCCCCUUCCCCCCCCAUUCUUCUUCGUUACGCUUGUGAAAUUCCUUGACACAUGCACGAGACACAUCGAUCCUCUUCUUGUUGUUUGGUGCGGUGUGUGUUGUUUUCGUAUAUUCGCUUCCUUCUUUCCCCCUUCCCUCCUCCUCCCUCCCCCUUCUUUUUUUGGUUCAUGCAUAAUAUACGUCUAUACAUGUACACAUAAAUAGAUGAUGUGCCUCUGUGUGCCUGUCAUGGUUUCCUUUCACGGCGUACUCUAUGUUGUUUGUUUCCUCUCCCCACCCCACCCCCUUCUCGCCGCUUUUCCCUCUUUGUGCGUGUGUGUUGUGUGCGUGUUGCUUGCUUUCUCUCUUGUUUUGGUUUGCCGAUCUACAUCCCUAAUUCGUUUGCAUGUGCCGACACUGUAUUUCUGUCCAUUCUGCGGGUGUGUAUCUGGCCGAGAGGGAGAGACACAACGAUCGGUGCGGAGAGAGACGUAGGGGGAGGGGGGCUGAGGGAUCGAGGGCGCAAUGGAGUACAUGGCAACGCCCUGUUGUUGCGCCUCUUGUUCCUCUGCCCCCUUCCCCUCCUUCUCUUCCUCCUCCCUCACACGGCAUGAAUGACGAAUACGUCACACGCACACACACACACACACACACCGCUACGUUCAUGGGAGCAUACACAAGGUAAGAUUGUACACACUGUUUCUUGACUGGAAUAGUGCUGCUAACUCUCAAUCUCUGUUCUCUGUGUGUGUGUUUGUUUUCUGUAUGUGACCAAAGACACGGGGGGAGAGUCCGUUGUAAACUCGCUGCCGUGGCACGGGCGUUCUCUUGCUGACGAUGUCUACGCCUGGCAAAGAGAAGCUUUUCAACGAGCAUGCUUCCCCACCUCACCCUUCUCGCACACACGCACAGGCACAUCACUGCUUCGCUUCGCUCUUUUUCUUCGCUGCCCGUGUUUCUUCUUCUGCGUGUAUGCGUACACACGGCGUCCACGUGGUUGGAGAACGGGUGCAAGAGGAAGGGGAGACAUGGAAAGCGAGCACUGGCUGUUGUACACAUUAUCCUUCUUUUUUUGCUUGUUGUCGGCGUUCUUCUUGAGCUGACGUGUGUGCCUGAGCGCACGCGGGCUUGUCCUUUUCUGUUUACCAAAUGCAUAUAUAUAUAUAUAUAUCGUCAAACUCGGCAUUGUGCUGAUUCCGUGUCUGCGUGCGCGCGAGAGAACGAGUAGCAGAGCUUUUUUCGUGUCGUAUUUUUUUUUUCGGCAUGCCUUCCACGUCGUCUCUUAUUUUUGAUUCCACGCAUAUAUGUUUACCGCUACGGUGACAUCGUCGUUGGCUACAUCAUCUCUGGUAUGCCGCUCCCUGCCCCUCCCCUUUCCCUCUCCCUUUCUUUUUUGGGUGUUUUAGUGUUUGGUUUAUCAAUAGUAGUAUUGCGUUGAACCCUCUUCUUCCCUCCCCCCCACUUCUGCCAGCCAAUACCAACAUCACCACUACCAUCACCUCAACUCCUUAGCCCACCCACCUCAUUCCCGCUGGGUCAGCGGUGCGGUGGCUAGCCCUCCUUUACUGUCGUCUUGCGCACUUAUCUCCUCCUCCAGCCCAGACCCCGGCUGGCGCACAUGUGCGUGCGUGUGCGUGUGUGUUAUUUUGUGCUGGCUUUGCUCCGUUUUGUUUGUAACCUUACUCCCCCUCCCCCUUUUUUUCCGCUUUCGAAGCGCGUGUGCAUUUUCAACCUGCGUCAUCAUUCUCUCAAGAACGGUUGCACGGUAGGUGAGCUUCUCUACUCGUUGGCGCAUGUCUUUCUCUGGAAUAUGCGUAGGCGCGCAUGGGAAAAGCAAAAGCGGAAGGGGUCCGCAGCGCACGCUCGCAGCUUCUUGCCCUUUUCUCUCCAACUCAGCUUCCCUUGAGCCCCCACUCACUCCUCUGUCACGAAUGAUGCCCUCACCUUGAAACCAGCGAGCCGCCGUUGAUUUGUUGUACAUCCCCUUACCGCCAUCCUCAACGCCGAUCCGCACGCACACCUCCACGCGGGCUUUGCGCGCAAGUGCCGUUGUAUUCAACUCCGCCCCCACCCCCUCCUGCAUCUGCCUUACCGACGUGGACGUUGUUGUGUGUGGUGUGUGGUGUGUGCGUUUUUUUUUUGAUUGUGUAUAUCAGUCACGCAGUACGUCUAUUUUUGCUCUUCUUGGUGCCCCAUUCUCCGCCGCACAAGACGAGGCCAGCUCCACUGUAGGCCUGUCACGGGCCCUAUCGCACGCUGCCAAGCAGCGCUAGACACACGCGUCACGGCAAUGCACCGACUCAGUGACCUGAGCGCGGCCUCUGUCUCCAACUCCGCCCGCCCCCGCCUCGCAGGCUGCACACCGGUGGGCAGUGAGAGUGGGGUGGGCGGGUGGGAUACGUUCGAGUUGCGCUGGCACGUUGCCGGGCAUGUGGAUGGCGCAAACGUGCUCGCUGUCGCAGGUCGCACCAAGGCAGCCCCAUGCACACCACGGCCGCCGACGUCGGCAGCGAGGAGUCGCGCUGACCCCGCUGCGUCGUAGGCACUUGACGCUACCAUCACCAGAAGUGCCUUGGCACCGGCAGGGAUGGGGAGGAAGCAGGUGUGAGUGUGUGUAUGUGGGCACUGGGCCCUGGAUACCCCCUCCUCCCCACGCACUGAGGUGCGCUCCCUAUGCCGCCAGAAAGCCGCGAAACAGGACGGAGAGGAAGGGAUGCUCUCAGGUCUGCGUGACGUCACGGUGACAGAUGCGUCUUCUG